UCUUUCGGUUAAAUCUUUCCAAACUUAUGUUUUACUUUUGGUUUAAUUUGAUAAAAAUGUGUAACUAAAUUUAUUUUGGCUAGAGGUUAAUUCAAAGCCAUGAAUAUAUUUGUAAUAUGAAUUGAUUACCUUCAGUUGUGAUUUCUGAGUUGUGAUUUAAUUUGCUUAACUGCUUGAUUGAUAACUUAUUUUUGUAUGUCGAUUAAGGAUGCAUACUUAAUUUACAUGCAUGAAUUUGAUGCUAGAAUAUAAGUAAAUUUCACCUAAUCGUUAUGAACUUAUAUUCACAAGUAGUGAAGGUUGCUAGUCACAAUCACGUUAAGUAAAUUCUUGGCAUAAGUUUCAUGCAAAUCAUAGUAACGAGUGCCUCGUCAAUGCUUAUGUUUUUCAUAGAACUUAAUGAUUCUUGCUUGUAUCUCUAUUAUGCAACUCAUGUAGGGAACUUGUAGGGAAUGUUUUGGGUUGUCGUAUGCAAUCAUCCAACCCAAUAACUUGUGGAAAAACUGAGGGUUAAUUAGUGCAAUUCACGGUUAAUUUGGGGCGUUGAGAUUCACAACUUAUUGAAAGAACAACUGAAAAUCAAUUUAGGUUGCAUAUGUGUCAUGUGUAGAGAAGAACCCUCUAGCUAAUCCAUCACCUAUCCUUGCACCUUAAUUUCAUGUUUUUGUCAAUUCUGUAAUUUAUUUAAGUUUAAUUUACUUCUCGUCAAAACCAAACCCCCCAUUAUUAAAUUAUUUUAUUUAGUUAGUUUUCUUUGUUGUUAGUCUUUUAAUUCAAUUUCCGUCCAUUGCAGUUCCUAGUGUCUAAUUUGAUUGUUUUCAUUAUUUUGAAUUAUCCUAAGUGUGUUUCGAGUUAUUAGAGUUUUUAGCCUAGUUUUGUGUCCUUGAGUCUUAUUUAAUAUUUUUAAAUUAAUUUAGAAUAGAUUAGCAAUCCCUCCUAAUCCCCGGCCUAGAACGAUACCCUACUUACAUCCAUACUACAAUUGUCAAAAAGAGGGUUUAAUUUGUGUGUUAACUUAUUUUUCACAUCAAAUUUUGGCGCCGUUGCCGGGGAUUAGCAAACUUUGCUAAUCCCUUGGUUCUUUUCUUUUUGUUUAGUUUGUUUUUGUUUUAGUUUCUGACUUAGUUUUGUUUUCCUUGUUUUGUGUUACUUUUGAUAUUUGAUUUAUUUUUCUUUCUUUGAUUUUAGGUACAAAUGGAGCGAGACAUGGCACUUGCGACCAUUCAAGCUCAAUUGGCACAGCUCACUGCUCAAUUGACUCAUAAUGCCGAACGGACCACAAUGCCAAGUGUCCCUACACUUGAUGUGCCCUAUGGGCAAGGUUAUCAAAGUCCUAAAUUUUAUGUCAAUGAAGAUGUUUGGGGAUAUCAAGGCCAUAACCAAUCAAGGGGCAACAUGUUUUCCAACGCUUACAAUUCGUAUUGGAGAAGUAAUUCAGAUUAUAUGUGGGAUGAACAUCAACAAUUUCAACAAGGUGGAUAUUGGCAGCAAGACGAGUUCUAUUCAAGACCUAUGCAGCCACCACAGCAUUCCCCACAACAAUUCCAAUCAAAUCAAAGUAUGCCCAUGAAUUAUAAUGAAAUUCUUGAAGGACUAAUUUCUGUGGCGCAGGGUUUACGAAAAGAAGAACAAUUGCCGCCAUCGGAAGAGUUCUAUCAGUGGCCAUAUGAACCGUCACAGCCACCACAACAAUCAACCCAAUUCAAUUCAGGUACGUCCUUGGAUAAUGAUACACUUAAUAAGUUACUCACCUCUUUGAAUCAGGGAGUAGAAAAUCGAAACCAGGAGAUGCAAGACCGAGUCAAAAGAGUGGACGAAUUGGAGAUGCAAGUUGGGCAGAUUGUGGAAUUCAUGGCACAGAUUCGAGAUCAAAGUGAACUUUCCAACUCAAACAUUGCAAAUUCAAAGGCAGAAAGUGAAAUCGAUGAAGCCAUCACUUUGGAAGGUGACAUGAAGGAUGAAGCUGUCCCAGAACCAUCCAAACACAACCCGAACAUGGAUGAAUUGCUGCUGCAAGCAGAAGAGGAGGAGGACGACCUGGGCAGUUUAGAAGAAUUUUUGCUGCAAGCUCCUCAAAUCCCUAUGUCAUCCAACUCAGGUGAGGAAGUUCUAAAUUCACUUCAUUCUAACAUUAUUCCACCGAAUGUCCUUUGUCCUUGCAGGUUUUUGAUUCCAAAUAUCAAAGAGAGUGAAAAAGACAUUGUGGAAGCUCUUCCAAAGGUGCAAAGUGAUAUCCCAAUUCUUGGUGCACCAAAACAAGUUCCCGAUAUUAUUGAAAUGUUCAAAGAACCUUGCACACCAAGAAAAGGGAUUCAAGAGAAUGAAGUGGUUGAAGCAUAUCAAGAAUACAUCCAAGAGGCUGUGCAUGAGACAAUCAAGCCCAAAGCAGUUGAGUUUGAUGACACGGGACAAGCCACAACCAUCAUAGUAAACCUGGCCAAGUUCAAAGUCCCGGAAAUGUUCAAAAAUGUGGUUUGUCAUUGAGUUUGUGUCGGAAAAAGAAAGUAAGCCAUCUUCUCCAAUUUUAAUUUUUAUUUAUACUAACAUUUUUCUGAUUUUGAUGAUUCAGGCACCCACUCUUGAAUUUAAACCAUUGCCGAAUCAUUUCAAGUAUCACCUCCCAUUAAAAGAUAAAUUUCAUGCUUUGGAGCCGAGGGGAGGUUAAAGGAAAGAUUCGUCCGGCUAAAGACGUUAAAUCAAGCGCUUCUUGGGAGGCAACCCAAGCAUUCAACGAAGGGAGACUUUGGAAUCGCUAACCAAAUCAGAUUUGAAUUCUUACACCCUUAUCUUUACUGCUUUCAUUUUGUUUGUUCAGUUAGUUGUGUUAUUUGGUUGAUUUAUGUGAGUUUGUGUUAUUUAGUUUAAGUGUAGGGGAAGGUUAACCAAAGUCUUUUUACAUUAAUUUACAUAUUUAAAAAUAAUAAUAAUAAUAAUAAUAAUAAUACAUAAAAAAAUAAAAAAAAAACAUAAAAGUAAAAAUAUUUUACAAUGAUGUGUUAACUAAUAAACAUUCAUUGGUCAGGUGGUGCUUCAGUAGUCGGCGGAGCUUCAGCAGUCGGCGGGGCCACGGAAGGAGGAGGUAUCGGAGGUUGAUCAGUUGAAGCUUCACUACGCGGUGCCGCCCCAGAAGACGAAGGAAGAUGCGGUUGGAACAAACCCACAAACCUCCGAUGAUCAAGUAAAAUUUGACCAUCAGUGUCUUGCAGCUGGUCAAUUUUCCUCUUCAUGUUUGUGGCAUAGUUGUGUGCAAGCUUGUGCAAUUGUUUAUUUUCAUGCUUGAGUCCUCUAAUCUCCUCUUUGAGACUCUGUAUUUCAGCCACCAACGAUUCAACGUGACGGGUUCGAGCAAAUAGGCGUUGGGCCAUGUUGGACACAGACCCCGCACACUGCACGCUAAGAGCCAGAGACUCCUUAACCGCCAAUUCAUCACCGUCUAGCGAGCAGUCUGUUAUCUCUGGGGGUGACAAGGUUCCGGGCCACCACCGCAGCGGUCAUGUCAUUUUUCAUCACCGAAUCCCCAACGGUAAGAGGACCGGUAGGGGAUAUGAAGGAUGGCCGCCAUAUGUUGUCUGGUGAAGGCGGAGCUGCCUCUUCACCAAUGUUCAAGUCAAAACGACGAUCGGAAGGGCCAGCCAUUUUCUGAAGGUGUUGAGAAAGAAGAGAUCGGACAGAUUAAGAUUUUGGAAAUUGUAAGAAGGGAGUGUUUACAGGAGGGAGCUCAAGUGUGUUGUGGAACAAAAUUAACGCCUCUAUAAAAAGAAGAAAUCAAAGAGGCGCUCCUCAGAGAAGCGUCCUCUCGCAAAUCGAAGAGUCGGGGCUCCGUUCUCAAACGCCUGAUUUUUUUUCUCAAAAGAGGAGUUUCCUUUCUCAAAAGCCGGAUUCUUUUCUCAAAAGAGGCGUUUCAUUUCUUAAAGGCUGGGCUUGCUCAGAAACCACGAGCCGAACCCCGGAUUUCAAAAGAUCAAUUUGUCCAGACGUGUCGUCACUUGUCACACGCAAAUUGCUUUGCGAAAAUCUCGGGCAGUUUGUCGAAGCACCAAUUCAGAAAUCGAAGAGGGAAAUUCAACAGUCAAAGACACGCUAGCUUUCUCAAAAGCUGGGCUUCAACCCACGGGCAAAUCUUCUUUUCCAGAUUUAUCCGCACGUGUCACAUGCUACCUCUACAAUCGACGAUGCUCAGAGCUCGAAGCGCCGAUUCCAGAUAUCAAUGAGGAAUCAGCUUUGCGGAAAUUACGGGCAGCUUUGUCAGAAAGCGCGUAAUUUGUACUAUUCAUCCAUCCACCGGCUGCCGACAAUGAGUGAGAGAAUAGUUCCGGUUGUGAAGAAAAGUCCUAUAAGUAUUUACCUUCGCCUUCCACAGCAAAGGCACACCCUCUCAGCACUUCUUCAUCUCCGAGAAUGCAUUCCCAAAGAACCCUCUCGAGUCACACUGUAUUCCUCAUUCCCUGGGAUACCCCUGCAAACAACCCAUCCAGAGCAAAAGUAUUUCAUAUCAUAAAGGUUGAAAGCAAGAGUAUCUCAUAUCAUGCAUUCUCCAUGUCCUUUUCCUUGUCUUUGUUCUAACCUGCAGGACAUGGAGAAAUUGUUCUCGAGUACUCGUCUUCCACUGCUGAUGUACUUCCAAAGAAGCUGCCACAUCUACCUGAAGAACAGAUAAGGCAAGCAAAAAUGAUACCAGCAGCAUGUGGAGACAACGUACAGAAGAAACAAGCAGAGAAGAAUGCAGCUUGCACAAUCAUCCCAGCGGAAGGAGUCCGAGCUGAGGAACUAGAGAAGCUGCCACAUCUGCUUGGAGAACAAAUAGGGAACUGCAACAUCACCAAAGAGCAAAGCUUCGCCGUACAAUAUCAUCAAAUCAUCACUUGCAAGUAAAAAGCUAAGUGUCACCCCGUUCAAGAGGAAAGCUGUGGAAAGUCAACAAGCACGACCAAUGACCACUUAUUAGUUCUAUUCAUUGUCUUUUAUCGUGAUUUUCAAUUUUUUGUUUGCAAUUUUUUUUAUAUUUUCUUGUGUCACUUAACUGAAUUAUUUCUUUUCUUUGCAGGAACUUUUGGUUAUUUCCACCCUUGAAGUUGAUUGCAGAAUUUUAGCUUGGGGGUCAUCGCUUGAUUUUACUGCAAAUUAGGGAAGUUUUCAGUCCACUUGUUUUAUUUUGUUUCUUAUUAUUUAUUUUAUUUUAUUUGCAUUAUAGUGUUUUCUGACAUUGGGGACAAUGUCCAGUUUAAGUUUGGGGGUAAAGAGUAUAAAAAAUGACCAAAUUGAAAUUUUUUGUACCUUCAACUACGAACGAGUUUCAUUUGUUUCCAUGUUGUUGCUUUUUGUUUUCAUAAAAAAAAAUAUAUAUUUAAAAAAAAAAAAUUUAAAAAUCGGAAAAUUUAAAAAAAUCCAAAAAUAUUGUCUUGUUUCCCUUAUUGUUUUGAAUUAGAUUUUUGUUAGUUUCCCGACCCAAUGAUAUAAUUAGAUCAAAUUUGAAUCAUGAUUAUCAAGAACUUAGUUAACAUGUGUUUUGUGAAAUUCCUAAUUCUCUUGUUAGUUUUGUACAUGUUUGAUCAUCUUUGAAAAACCAAAUGCACAUAGCCUUGUUAAUGUGAAACUAAAGUAUGACUUAAAGCUUCAUAUGUGAAUUUAGUGACCAUAUACAUCCUAUGUGAGUUUUUGAGCCUAUUGAAAGUGUGUGCAUUUUUCAUACACUCUUAUUCUUUCAUGUGUGAUGAACUUAUGUGAAAUACAUCUCUAGAACUUGCGUAACGAUCUUUCGAAAUGUUUGUCAUUGAUUGCAUGAACUUGGAAAUGAUAGAGGCAUUAGGUUUACCACCAUGGCCCAAAUAACCAUGUUUCCCAAAUAAAAAUAAUAUCAUUAGAUUGCCAAUUUGAGCCGUGUAUGUUGAGCCUUUUAUUUCUUACCACCAGAUAUGUCUACCUUUAUACCUGAAAUUUUUUUUCCUUACCCUUUCCAAGCAAGCUAGUGAGCAAUGUGAGAUUGUCUUAUGAGAAAUGUUUGUGAAGUACUUUGAAGGUGUUUGGCAAAAGAAUAAGUGUGGGGUAUUUCAUGUUUGUAUUAAAAAAAAAAUAUAUAUAUAUAUAAAAAAAAAAAAAAAAAAAAAAGAAGAACAAAAGAAAAGAAAAAGAAGGAUUGUAUACAAAUGAAAUAAAAACUUUUUAAAGUUUCAGUUUAGGGGUGUGGUUGGAGGUGCUAGAAGAAUUGCUGGAGAGCUUGAGUUCUUAUAAAUCUAAAGAAAAGAAUUGCUUGCAAUGUAGCUUGGAACUUGUGUUUUCCUAUUCUAUCGUUUCAAUAGCCCUAUCCCUAAACCUCAUUACAUCCAAUAAAAGUCCUUUUGAUUUAAGUUUUGCAAUUAUGAUUAUGGAGAUGAGAUCUUUAUGCAAGCUUAUGGUAGAAAUUUCACAUUUGAUUCUUUCUUUGAGCGAAACACAUUAAAACUAAACACAUAUGUGAUUGAGUGUAUAUCCCGUGAGAAGGUUACUAGUUUGCAUAUGAUGAUUUUAAAAAUAAAAACUUGAAAUUGCAUUAGCAUGACUAUCUCACACACUACACUUCAAGGAUGAUUCAAAGAUUACUGCUAAUAUUUGAAUAAGGAAGAUGAACUUGGAUUAACUUGUUUGGUGCUAGAUAUGGUUCUUGAUGAUUUGUGUUCUCAAAUGAAAUUCUAUGAGGGUCACAUAGGGGGAAACUAAUGUUUUUCAUGUUAGUACUUUUUCAUGUUUUCUUUGUUUUGCUCGAGGACUAGCAAAAGCUAAGUAUGGGGGUAUUUGAUCGGAUCAUAUUUAUAUAUAUUUUUACUUCAAAUUCACUCGUCUUUUCUUAGUUAGUUCCUUAUAUUUUUUAGCUAUUUACGUUAUUUUUGUGUUUAUAGGAUUUGUUAUGCAAAGAAAAUAAAAAUAGAACAAGUGAAAUUUUAUGUAAUAAAUUCGUCAAAACUGUAUGUGUAGAUCAGCUUUUAAAUUAAAUUAAAAAAAAAUAUAAUAAUGAUAAGUCAUGAUGAUGUUUGAAAACAUCAUGAUGGUUUUGUUUUGUAGAAGAAAAGAAAGGAACGGAUGAAGAAGAAGAAAAGAAAGGAAUAAAAAAAGGAAAUGAAUAAAAAAUAGAUGAAAGAAGUAAAAAGCUGCCUUUGCAGCAUAAGGAAAGAAGGUCACGGAUAGAGACUCACGUGAGGGCAGACUGGCAGAGAGAGUGCAGAAACAGAAGCACACAGCACAGGCGCAGGAAAUUGAGGGCCUGGCAGUGUGAGAACAGGCGCUGCCAUGGGCAGCGGCAUAAAAUAAAAAGGCAGGAAGCUGCCUUAGCAGCUGGAAAAAAAAUAUAAAAAAAAAAAGCUGUCUUGGGCAGCUGGAGACAGCGUGAGAACGGAGAGAACGCUGCCUUUGGCAGCGUGAGAGCAGCGUAAGACACGGGGAAUUGGAAGGAGGGCAAGUCAGGGACUUGCUAGGCGCAGAAAUAGCACAGAAACCUUCACUCAAUCUUUCGGUUAAAUCUUUCCAAACUUAUGUUUUACUUUUGGUUUAAUUUGAUAAAAAUGUGUAACUAAAUUUAUUUUGGCUAGAGGUUAAUUCAAAGCCAUGAAUAUAUUUGUAAUAUGAAUUGAUUACCUUCAGUUGUGAUUUCUGAGUUGUGAUUUAAUUUGCUUAACUACUUGAUUGAUAACUUAUUUUUGUAUGUCGAUUAAGGAUGCAUACUUAAUU
Molecule: long non-coding RNA, 7698 nt
Filed under: Malus domestica (apple)
Lineage: Eukaryota; Viridiplantae; Streptophyta; Magnoliopsida; Rosales; Rosaceae
Description: long non-coding RNA (MDOM_LNC007775)
Source: RNAcentral